CGUAGGUGCAAGCGUUAAUCGGAAUUACUGGGCGUAAAGCGUGCGCAGGCGGUUGUGCAAGACCGAUGUGAAAUCCCCGGGCUUAACCUGGGAAUGGCAUUGGUGACUGCACGGCUAGAGUGUGUCAGAGGGGGUAGAAUCACGUGUAGCAGUGAAAUAGCGUAGAGAUGUGGAGGAAUACCGAUGGCGAAGGCAGCCCCGUCGGGAUAACACUGACGCUCAUGCACGAAAGACGUGGGAGGCAAACAGGAUU
This 253-nucleotide ribosomal RNA is filed under the name uncultured bacterium. RNAcentral's name for it is "partial 16S ribosomal RNA". It matches the Rfam family "Bacterial small subunit ribosomal RNA", at positions 526 to 779 of the family's 1533-position model. The record is from RNAcentral.